Molecule: transfer RNA, 67 nt
Filed under: Eurycea junaluska (Junaluska salamander)
Lineage: Eukaryota; Metazoa; Chordata; Amphibia; Caudata; Plethodontidae
Description: tRNA-Trp
Rfam family: tRNA
About the family: Transfer RNA (tRNA) molecules are approximately 80 nucleotides in length. Their secondary structure includes four short double-helical elements and three loops (D, anti-codon, and T loops).
Source: RNAcentral
AGACUUAGGAUAAUCAGACCAAGGGCCUUCAAAGCCUUAAGCAGAAGUUUAAACCUUCUUAGGUUUG